UACUCCUACGGGAGGCAGCAGUGGGGAAUUUUGGACAAUGGGCGAAAGCCUGAUCCAGCAAUGCCGCGUGCAGGAUGAAGGCCUUCGGGUUGUAAACUGCUUUUGUACGGAACGAAAAAGCUCCUUCUAAUACAGGGGGCCCAUGACGGUACCGUAAGAAUAAGCACCGGCUAACUACGUGCCAGCAGCCGCGGUAAU
RNAcentral lists this ribosomal RNA (198 nucleotides) under uncultured soil bacterium. RNAcentral's name for it is "partial 16S ribosomal RNA". It matches the Rfam family "Bacterial small subunit ribosomal RNA", at positions 334 to 524 of the family's 1533-position model. The record is from RNAcentral.